GUUGACUCUGACACACAUACCAAUACAUAUGUUUUAUCUUUGAUAUCUUCAAUUCUCUACUAAAAAAAAUUAUAAAAAUUUAAUAUUUUAAAAAUACUCAUCGAGACGAAUCCAACAACAUCUUACAUGAUAUUAUUUAUCUUUGUGAAUUAGUAUAAAAGUAUAGUCAAAGUAUGUCAAGUCAAUUAUGUAUAUUGUCAACUGGGUCAUUUAUUUAGGGAC
Molecule: long non-coding RNA, 222 nt
Filed under: Medicago truncatula (barrel medic)
Lineage: Eukaryota; Viridiplantae; Streptophyta; Magnoliopsida; Fabales; Fabaceae
Description: long non-coding RNA (MTRU_LNC005518)
Source: RNAcentral